AUAAAGUCCACACUGGAGAUUAGGAAAAACUUUCUAACUGUGAGGAUGGUUGAGCAUUGGCACAGGCUACAUAGAGAAGCUACGGGAUCUCCAUUCCUGGAAAUUUUCA
Molecule: long non-coding RNA, 109 nt
Organism: Gavialis gangeticus (Gharial)
Lineage: Eukaryota; Metazoa; Chordata; Crocodylia; Gavialidae
Exons: 3
Source: RefSeq, a predicted model, not a curated record